AACAAAUUAACCUUUCCUUCUCUCUCUCUCUCUCUCUCUCUCUCUCUCUCUGUGGUAGAGUAAAAGCCGGCUGAAUCUUUCAUGCGAAACUGUUUUCAAUGUUGCAAAUUACUUUGUUCGCUUCCUCUCUGUCGAUCAUUGCAGAAGAUGGAAAAAUUGGAUGGUUGAGUUAGUGGCUGUUGCAUGCUUAUCUGUAGCCUCCAAGUUUGAUGGAAGAUCUGGACCAUUCCUUUCAGUCUAGCUUGAUCCAGUGGAUAGAAUUGACACUUCUCAAGGCGUUAGGGUGGCGAUUUGGCUC
This is a long non-coding RNA of Diospyros lotus (date-plum), 298 nucleotides long. RefSeq lists it as uncharacterized. The transcript has 3 exons. The record is from RefSeq and is a predicted model, not a curated record. Lineage: Eukaryota; Viridiplantae; Streptophyta; Magnoliopsida; Ericales; Ebenaceae.